GAUGAACGCUAGCGACAGGCUUAACACAUGCAAGUCGAGGGGCGAGCAGUGAUUUGUAGCAAUACAGUAUUGAUGGCGACCGGCGCACGGGUGAGUAACGCGUAUGCAACUUACCUAUCGAGAGGGGGAUAGCCCGGCGAAAGUCGGAUUAAUACCCCAUAAACGAGGGUCCCGCAUGGGGAAUAUUUGUUAAAGAUUCAUCGCUGAUAGAUAGGCAUGCGUUCCAUUAGGCAGUU
RNAcentral lists this ribosomal RNA (236 nucleotides) under uncultured bacterium. RNAcentral's name for it is "partial 16S ribosomal RNA". It matches the Rfam family "Bacterial small subunit ribosomal RNA", at positions 28 to 250 of the family's 1533-position model. The record is from RNAcentral.